This 1342-nucleotide ribosomal RNA is filed under the name uncultured Bacteroidota bacterium. RNAcentral describes it as "uncultured Bacteroidetes bacterium 16S ribosomal RNA". It matches the Rfam family "Bacterial small subunit ribosomal RNA", at positions 91 to 1435 of the family's 1533-position model. The record is from RNAcentral. Lineage: Bacteria; Pseudomonadati; Bacteroidota.
ACGACCGGCGCACGGGUGCGUAACGCGUAUGCAACCAACCCCGAAGACUGGGAUAGCCCGGCGAAAGCCGGAUUAAUACCGGAUGGUACAAUUUUGCUGUGAGGCGAGAUUGUUAAAGAGUGAUCACUUCGGGACGGGCAUGCGUUCCAUUAGGUAGUUGGUAGGGUAACGGCCUACCAAGCCGACGAUGGAUAGGGGUUCUGAGAGGAAGGUCCCCCACACUGGUACUGAGACACGGACCAGACUCCUACGGGAGGCAGCAGUGAGGAAUAUUGGUCAAUGGCCGGAAGGCUGAACCAGCCAAGUCGCGUGCAGGAAGACGGCCUUAUGGGUUGUAAACUGCUUUUAGACGGGAAUAAGAAGCGUCAUGCGUGGCGCAUUGCAGGUACCGUCAGAAUAAGCAUCGGCUAACUCCGUGCCAGCAGCCGCGGUAAUACGGAGGAUGCGAGCGUUAUCCGGAUUUAUUGGGUUUAAAGGGUGCGUAGGUGGGCGAUUAAGUCAGCGGUGAAAGUUUGUUGCUUAACGACAAAAUUGCCGUUGAAACUGGUUGUCUUGAGUAUGAUUGGGGCAGGCGGAAUGCGGGGUGUAGCGGUGAAAUGCAUAGAUAUCCCGCAGAACUCCGAUCGCGAAGGCAGCUUGCCAAGUCAAUACUGACACUGAAGCACGAAAGCGUGGGUAUCAAACAGGAUUAGAUACCCUGGUAGUCCACGCUGUAAACGAUGAUUACUGGCUGUUUGCAAAUAGAUGUAAGCGGCAAAGCGAAAGCAUUAAGUAAUCCACCUGGGGAGUACGCCGGCAACGGUGAAACUCAAAGGAAUUGACGGGGGCCCGCACAAGCGGAGGAACAUGUGGUUUAAUUCGAUGAUACGCGAGGAACCUUACCCGGGAUUGAACGCAGGGGGACGUAGUGUGAAAGCAUUAUUCCAGCAAUGGUCGCCUGCGAGGUGCUGCAUGGUUGUCGUCAGCUCGUGCCGUGAGGUGUCGGCUUAAGUGCCAUAACGAGCGCAACCCCUGCCGCCAGUUACCAUCGAGUAAAGUCGGGGACUCUGGCGGGACUGCCGGCGUAAGCCGCGAGGAAGGCGGGGAUGACGUCAAAUCAGCACGGCCCUUACAUCCGGGGCGACACACGUGUUACAAUGGCGCGGACAAAGGGCAGCGACCUGGUGACAGGGAGCGAAUCUCUAAACCGCGUCCCAGUUCGGAUCGGAGUCUGCAACUCGACUCCGUGAAGCCGGAUUCGCUAGUAAUCGCGCAUCAGCCAUGGCGCGGUGAAUACGUUCCCGGGCCUUGUACACACCGCCCGUCAAGCCAUGGGAGCCGGGGGUGCCUGAAGUUCGUGACC